UAUAAUGAACGAAGCAUAUUAAAAUGAAGAUAGAGAAGAAGUAACUAACCUGGAAUUUAAGACAACAAAUCCAGCAAGACCUGACGCGCUACGAAGCACAUAUCUCCAAUUUUGCACCAAAUUUUCGUUCGUAAGAGGAACCUCAUCUCCCCGGAACAUUGAUCAAGGGUCAAGUUGAGGAUGUCGCUCCACAAUAAGCUCUCUAAAAAUAUGAGGAUAUCAUAAAUGGAAAUGUGUUGAAGGCGUACAAGAGGAUGUCAAACAGUUAACAUCAUCAUUGCCUUAUUAUUAUUGGAUCAACACAGGAGACCACUCCUUGAAACAUUUUCCUAGAAGCACCAAGAAAAAAGGAGUAAGUUCUUGGUGAAAAAAGGUCAUGAUGUUCUAUAAUGAGCUAAAAUAUGCCUUAACUCAUUAUGAGAAGGCUAUUACUUUUCCCACCCUAUUCAUUUCUCAUACACCCUAUUUUUCCUCCCAAAAAUAACCUUUCUUUGGAUUCUAAAAUCGAAAAUAGAUUGAUUGAAUUUUCGGAUUA
Molecule: long non-coding RNA, 535 nt
Organism: Medicago truncatula (barrel medic)
Lineage: Eukaryota; Viridiplantae; Streptophyta; Magnoliopsida; Fabales; Fabaceae
Exons: 2
Source: RefSeq, a predicted model, not a curated record